Molecule: ribosomal RNA, 506 nt
Filed under: uncultured bacterium
Lineage: Bacteria
Description: partial 16S ribosomal RNA
Rfam family: Bacterial small subunit ribosomal RNA
Source: RNAcentral
GAUGAACGCUAGCGGCAGGCCUAACACAUGCAAGUCGAGGGGUAACUAGAGUGAUAGCAAUAUUACUUUGGCUAGACCGGCGCACGGGUGCGUAACACGUAUGCAACCUACCUUAUACUGGGGAAUAACUUCGAGAAAUCGGCGCUAAUACCCCAUAACAUUGCGAAGAGGCAUCUCUUUGCAAUUAAAGCUCCGGCGGUAUAAGAUGGGCAUGCGUCCAAUUAGCUAGUUGGUGAGGUAACGGCUCACCAAGGCUACGAUUGGUAGGGGUUCUGAGAGGAUGAUCCCCCACACUGGUACUGAGACACGGACCAGACUCCUACGGGAGGCAGCAGUGAGGAAUAUUGCGCAAUGGACGAAAGUCUGACGCAGCCAUGCCGCGUGCAGGAUGACGGCCCUAUGGGUUGUAAACUGCUUUUGUACGGGAAUAAGCCCUUCUACGUGUAGGAGGCUGAAGGUACCGUAAGAAUAAGCACCGGCUAACUCCGUGCCAGCCGCCGCAGUAA